RNAcentral lists this long non-coding RNA (1049 nucleotides) under Marmota monax (woodchuck). Lineage: Eukaryota; Metazoa; Chordata; Mammalia; Rodentia; Sciuridae. The record is from RNAcentral.
GUGUCCUUUGCAGCACAAAGUUUUUAAUUUUGAUGAUGGACAGUUCAUUUUCUUCCAUUGGUCAUUCUUUUGGUGUCUUAUCUAAUAAUAAAUAUAUCAUUUUAAAUGUAAGGUCAUGGAAAUUUUUCCGUUUUCUUCCAAAUACCUUUUUUUUGAGUGGGUACCAGGGAUUGGCCAUUAUGAAUGAGGCUGCCAUAAAUGUUUAAAUACAAGUUCUUUGGGGACGUAUGUUUUAAUUUCUCCUGGUUUUAUCCCCAGCCCUGUUGCCCUGUUUUGUAUUUUAUUUAGAGGCAGGGUCUCACUGAGUUGCUUAGCACCUCGCUUUUGUUGAGGCUGGCUUUGAACUAGCAAUCCUCCUGUCUCAGCCUCCAGAGCCAUUGGGUACAGGCGUGCAUCAAUGAGCCCAGCACAACUAGAUCUUUGAACCAUUUUUUGAGUCAAUUAUUAUUAUUAUUAUUUUGUGUGUGUGUGUGUGUGUGUGUGCGUAUGCACGCGCUUGCAUGCUGGAGAAUUCAGGUCACUUUACUGUUGAGCUAUAUCUCCAGCCCUUUUUAUUUUUUAUUUUAUUUUGAGACAAGUUCUCCCUAAAAGGCAGAGCCUGGCCUCAAACUUGCAAUCCUCCUGCCUCAGCCUCCCAAGUUGCUGUGAUUACCCACGUGUGCCAUUGCACCUGGCUCAUAAUUUUUUACAUAUCUUGUAGAACUUUGUUGCCUGAUAUUUUGUUGAGGAUUUCACAUCCAUAUUCAUAAACAAUAUUGGUCUGUAGUUUCCUUUCUUUCCCUUCUUCUAGGUAAAUGCUCUACUACUGAGCUACACCCCAGCCUGUAGUUUUCUUAUGAUAUCUGUCUGGUUUUGGCAUCUGGGUGAUGCCUCAUAGAAUGAGUUGGGAAGUGUCACCUCUUCAUCCAUUUUUUUUGGACAAGUUUGUGAAUAAUUGUCCUUAAUUCUUCUUUAAAUUAUUGUUAGAAUUCAGUGGUGAAGUCACCUGAGCCUGGGCUUUUCUUUGUGGGUAGUUUUUGUUGUUGCUGUUGUGUUUUUCUCAAAUAUUU